AAUAUUGGGCAAUGGGGGAAACCCUGACCCAGCAAUGCCGCGUGAGGGAAGAAGGUCUUCGGAUUGUAAACCUCUGUCCUGAGGGACGAAGCAAGUGACGGUACCUCGGGAGGAAGCCCCGGCUAACUACGUGCCAGCAGCCGCGGUAAUACGUAGGGGGCAAGCGUUGUCCGGAAUCACUGGGCGUAAAGGGCGCGUAGGCGGCCUAUCAAGUCAGGUGUGAAAUACCUCUGCUUAACGGAGGGGGGUCACUUGAAACUGGUAGGCUUGAGUGCAGGAGAGGAAAGUGGAAUUCCCGGUGUAGCGGUGGAAUGCGUAGAGAUCGGGAGGAACACCAGUGGCGAAGGCGACUUUCUGGACUGUAACUGACGCUGAGGCGCGAAAGCGUGGGGAGCAAACAG
Molecule: ribosomal RNA, 401 nt
Filed under: uncultured bacterium
Lineage: Bacteria
Description: partial 16S ribosomal RNA
Rfam family: Bacterial small subunit ribosomal RNA
Source: RNAcentral